CAUAUUCUACUUAGAUGUGAAUUUUGUGUUCUUGAUGACAUGUAAUUACUGUCAAAUUAUUGAUUUUGUGGAUACCAACUUUUGGAAUGUAGGAAAAGUUGAAUUUUCGUAGAUAUUUGAUUUCGUGGUUCUACAAAAGUCUGCCUACUUACUGUAUCUAUAGAUAAUUUGUACUUCCUUGAACAUUUAUAUUGUUGUUUCAUGUAUACCUAUGAAAUCAACAAAAAAUUGGUACACCAAGAAUAAACAUGAAUCUACAGGACAGAGAUAUUCAAUUAUACUUUACCGGUACUUAGGAAAUGUGUUACUUCUCUAAAUUUCAUGCUUUUUUUCACAUUUCUUAAUCGAUGCAAGAAAAUCUUUAUAACCUGUAUAGAAAUCUUUGUUCUUGGGAAAUGAUUGGUUAAAAUUUAAUUAUGAAGGCA
Molecule: long non-coding RNA, 425 nt
Filed under: Mytilus galloprovincialis (Mediterranean mussel)
Lineage: Eukaryota; Metazoa; Mollusca; Bivalvia; Mytilida; Mytilidae
Source: RNAcentral